CCUACGGGUGGCAGCAGUGGGGAAUAUUGCACAAUGGGGGGAACCCUGAUGCAGCGACGCCGCGUGGGUGAGGAAGUACUUCGGUAUGUAAAGCUCUAUCAGCAGGGAAGAAAAUGACUGUACCUGUCUAAGAAGCUCUGGCUAACUACGUUCCAGCAGCCGCGGUAAUACGCAGGGGGCAAGCGUUAUCCGGAUUUACUGGGUGUAAAGGGAGCGUAGACGGCGUGCCAAGUCCGAUGUGAAAGGCUGGGGCUCAACCGCGGGACUGCAUUGGAAACUGGCAGGCUGGAGUACCGGAGGGGCGAGCGGAAUGCGUAGUGUAGCGGUGAAAUGCGUAGAUAUUAGGAAGAACGCCGGUGGCGAAGGCAGCUUGCUGGACGGUAACUGACAUUGAGGCUCGAAAGCGUGGGGAGCAAACAGGAUUAGAUACCCGAGUAGUC
RNAcentral lists this ribosomal RNA (440 nucleotides) under uncultured bacterium. RNAcentral describes it as "partial 16S ribosomal RNA". It matches the Rfam family "Bacterial small subunit ribosomal RNA", at positions 338 to 795 of the family's 1533-position model. The record is from RNAcentral.